GGCCUUGUAUUCAAAAAAUGAUUUUAAAUUGCAAGUUUAAAGGUGGGGAUGCCCUAAGGCUU
Molecule: transfer RNA, 62 nt
Filed under: Elminae sp. GENSP01
Lineage: Eukaryota; Metazoa; Arthropoda; Insecta; Coleoptera; Elmidae
Description: tRNA-Cys
Source: RNAcentral